RNAcentral lists this ribosomal RNA (406 nucleotides) under uncultured bacterium. RNAcentral's name for it is "partial 16S ribosomal RNA". It matches the Rfam family "Bacterial small subunit ribosomal RNA", at positions 30 to 526 of the family's 1533-position model. The record is from RNAcentral.
AUUGAACGCUGGCGGCAGGCCUAACACAUGCAAGUCGAACGAGUGGCAGACGGGUGUGUUAUGUCUGGGAAACUGCCUGAUGGAGGGGGAUAACUACUGGAACCGGUAGCUAAUCCCGCAUACCAGCAGAUGUGCCCAGAUGGGUGUGGCUUGUUGGUGGGGUAGCGGCUCACCAAGGCGACGAUCCCUAGCUGGUCUGAGAGGGUGACCAGCCAAACUGGAACUGAGACACGGGCCAGACUCCUACGGGAGGCAGCAGUGGGGAAUAUGGCACAAUGGGCGCAAGCCUGAUGCAGCCAUGCCGCGUGUAUGAAGAAGGCCUUCGGGUUGUAAAGUACUUUCAGCGGGGAGGCGUUACCCGCAGAAGAAGCACCGGCUAACUCCGUGCCAGCAGCCGCGGUAAUUC